UACGUAGGGUGCGAGCGUUAAUCGGAAUUACUGGGCGUAAAGCGUGCGCAGGCGGUCUGUUAAGACCGAUGUGAAAUCCCCGGGCUUAACCUGGGAACUGCAUUGGUGACUGGCAGGCUUUGAGUGUGGCAGAGGGAGGUAGAAUUCCACGUGUAGCAGUGAAAAUGCGUAGAGAUGUGGAGGAAUACCGAUGCGAAGGCAGCCUCCUGGGCCAACACUGACGCUCAUGCACGAAAGCGUGGGGAGCAAACAGG
This 254-nucleotide ribosomal RNA is filed under the name uncultured bacterium. RNAcentral's name for it is "partial 16S ribosomal RNA". It matches the Rfam family "Bacterial small subunit ribosomal RNA", at positions 524 to 776 of the family's 1533-position model. The record is from RNAcentral.